CCCUUAGAUGUUCUGGGCUGCACGCGCGCUACACUGACGCACGCAACAGGUGCCUGCUCCGAGAGGACUGGGUAAUCAUUUGAGUGUGCGUCGUGAUGGGGAUAGAAUAUUGUAAUUAUUACUCUUCAACGAGGAAUUCCUAGUAAGCGCCAGUCAGCAGCUUGCGCUGAUUACGUCCCUGCCCUUUGUACACACCGCCCAUCGCUCCUACCGAUGGGUGAUCCGGUGAAUGAUUCGGACUUCAGCGGCUCCCCUGGGGUGCGCCGGAGAAAGUUUUGUGAACCUUAUCACUUGGAGGAAGGAGAAGUCGUAACA
Molecule: ribosomal RNA, 315 nt
Filed under: uncultured eukaryote
Lineage: Eukaryota
Description: partial 18S ribosomal RNA
Rfam family: Eukaryotic small subunit ribosomal RNA
Source: RNAcentral